CCAUAUUUUGGGACCCUAAGAAACAUCCUACAAGCAGCUCAGGGUGCUUGAUUGGUGUCUCUUGCCAAUAGGAGAAGCUUCUUCCAUGGGUGCAGGACACAGCAGAGUACUCCUGCCUUGUAGAAAUGCUGGAAGAUCAUGAAGGAGCAUACACAGAGCCCUGUUGGUGUUUCCAUCUGUGAUGGUGUUUUCCAUCUGAUGGUUUGUUACGCCUUCCUCAAGUAUUUAACACUGAGUAGUGACAGAGAAUUUAGUGGAGAAUUCAUCAGAGAUGAUCAAGGCAUUCUCAGGGCUGGGCCUAAGUGCAGUAAAAUGCCAUCCUGUUAUUUUCAACACGAAACAAGCAGUUGAAAGCUUGCACACUUGACUGAACUUCCUGAUGCUCACACUGCUAACCAAGAACCGGGCUUCUGCUUUGUACGUCUCACUGAUCUUCACAUAAAACUGUGUCUACAGAGAAGAGGUGUAGGCGAAGUGGCUGAGGGAAGGAAGGAACACGAGUAGUUUUGUGUACAAAACAUCCCUCCUACGCAAAUGGUGCUCUGGGGGUGGCUGCUAUUUUUAGACUCAUUGAAAAACCACAGUCCAAAAAUAAUAAGUGUUACUACAGAUCGUAAAUGUGAGACCAAUGGGUCAAAUCUGAGCUUUCGCUUCUUUAUUAUUUAUUUCUUUUUAGAGUGGAUGCGUGGGCUGAAAAGUUUGAUUGAGUCACUUUGGAGAAUGGAGAGAAGUACGGGAAACAAAUGAGAAUUGUUUUAGAUGUUGAUCUUCUGUUUCAUAGUAACAAUUGAAUGGAACAUAUUAGUAAGGCUUACAUACUGCACACCUACACUUCUGAUUUUUUUAAAGUGUUUUUUGGUUGCUUCAGCCAAGGUGCCAUAAGAGAACCCAGGGUUUCAUUUCACUUUAAUUGCCUGUUUAAAAAUGUGAUCAAACAUGGCAUGAAUUUGUAUGCAACAAGGACUAUUUUUGAAAGAAAAUCGGUACAUUGUAAGUUAAGGAGGGGAAUUCUAGUCUGUUCUACACUCUGCAUUCAUUCCCUAUGAGGACACUUCUGCACUUACCUGGAGAGCUCUUGCAGGAAAUCAAGGAGGUGCCCAACCCUCUCUGCUGUCAUUCUUGCUUACUCCACCAUCAUUCCAGAUAUCAACCAAAACAAUGGACCAAUGGAACCUACAAGUAAGACUAGAAAGUGCUGGUCUGAGUCUCUGGGCACAAGCAUUCUUGUAUAGCAAAAGAUAAAACUGGAGGAAGGAGGGGUAAAAUAAACUUGAAUUAAUAAAGGAAGAUUAUAGUUUAGAUUCUUCUGACUCUCAAGAACUGCUCUUUGUUUUGUUUGGCCUUUCUAUCUCCUUCAUGACACAAAACCCUACAGCUGGAAUUUCAAUUUUCAUUUGAAACAAGGUAGUGUUUCAGCUUUCCUAAGACUGAAGGCUUGGCUCCUACCAAGGCCAUGAUUGUGGAACUGUGUAUUGACUCCAAGUAAUUUUAUGAGUUAUGUCUCUAGUUUGGCUUUUCACUACAACAUUAUGUGCUGGUGUGAUUUUUUUGUUAUUUUACGAUUGUGUUCCUGUUGAUAGUGGUGCCUAUGCAGAAAGGCAUAGAUUGACUCAGCACCCUGAUUCCUGCUGCUAGCAGAGCUCUACUGGAAGCACUUCUCAACUAGUCCACAUCUUGUUCUUCUGUAUAUUUGGCAAUGGACUGAGUAUAUUUCCAACAUCUCGUGGUUGUAAAUAAUUCCGGUCAUUUCAGCAAAUGCUGCCACUCAUUAGAUCUGGCUUCUCUGAACACCCAGCCUGUGAGGUCAGUGUAAGACUCCUUCAUCCUGUGAGUGAUGUGACGUUUUCAGUUACAGGCAUUAGUCACACCCACUCACCAACAUUUAGUUCUGAGUGGUUCUCUCCCACUCUUCCUCAUUCUUUUACUCACAUUUUCUGUCUUUUCAUUUCCAGACAGAUUUGAUUUGGAUACUACAGUUCCUGUGAGCUUUGAGGUGGACGCAACCCACCUGGAGGUUUGAAGGAAGUCUCAACUGGUGUUACUGCAGGUCAGGCUGCCACCCAUUGCACUGACAACUACUGUGGGUGUCAAA
Long non-coding RNA from Coturnix japonica (Japanese quail), 2092 nucleotides. RefSeq lists it as uncharacterized. Lineage: Eukaryota; Metazoa; Chordata; Aves; Galliformes; Phasianidae. The record is from RefSeq and is a predicted model, not a curated record.